CCGGAGGAAGGUGGGACGACGUCAAGUCAUCAUGGCCCUUACGUGUAGGGCUACACACGUGCUACAAUGGCAUUUACAGAGGGAAGCGAGACAGUGAUGUGGAGCGGACCCCUUAAAGAAUGUCGUAGUCCGGAUUGGAGUCUGCAACUCGACUCCAUGAAGUCGGAAUCGCUAGUAAUCGCAGGUCAGAAUACUGCGGUGAAUACGUUCCCGGGCCUUGUACACACCGCCCGUCACACCAUGGGAGUGGGAUGCAAAAGAAGUAGUUAGUCUAACCUUCGGGAGGACGAUUACCACUUUGUGUUUCAUGACUGGGGUGAAGUCGUAACAAGGUAACC
Molecule: ribosomal RNA, 338 nt
Filed under: uncultured gamma proteobacterium 400m-ATT-23
Lineage: Bacteria; Pseudomonadati; Pseudomonadota; Gammaproteobacteria
Description: bacterial SSU rRNA
Rfam family: Bacterial small subunit ribosomal RNA
Source: RNAcentral